RNAcentral lists this ribosomal RNA (468 nucleotides) under uncultured bacterium. RNAcentral's name for it is "partial 16S ribosomal RNA". It matches the Rfam family "Bacterial small subunit ribosomal RNA", at positions 28 to 507 of the family's 1533-position model. The record is from RNAcentral.
GACGAACGCUGGCGGCGUGCUUAACACAUGCAAGUCGAACGGAAAGGCCCUGCUUUUGUGGGGUGCUCGAGUGGCGAACGGGUGAGUAACACGUGAGUAUCCUGCCCUUGACUUUGGGAUAACUUCAGGAAACUGGGGCUAAUACCGGAUAGGAGCUCCUGCUGCAUGGUGGGGGUUGGAAAGUUUCGGCGGUUGGGGAUGGACUCGCGGCUUAUCAGCUUGUUGGUGGGGUAGUGGCUUACCAAGGCUUUGACGGGUAGCCGGCCUGAGAGGGUGACCGGCCACAAUGGGACUGAGAUACGGCCCAGACUCCUACGGGAGGCAGCAGUGGGGAAUAUUGCACAAUGGGCGGAAGCCUGAUGCAGCAACGCCGCGUGCGGGAUGACGGCCUUCGGGUUGUAAACCGCUUUCGCCUGUGACGAAGCGUGAGUGACGGUAAUGGGUAAAGAAGCACCGGCUAACUACGUG